RNAcentral lists this ribosomal RNA (493 nucleotides) under uncultured bacterium. RNAcentral's name for it is "partial 16S ribosomal RNA". It matches the Rfam family "Bacterial small subunit ribosomal RNA", at positions 27 to 507 of the family's 1533-position model. The record is from RNAcentral.
GAGUGAACGCUGGCGGUCGGCCUAACACAUGCAAGUCGAACGGCAGCACAGUAAGAGCUUGCUCUUACGGGUGGCGCGUGGCGGACGGGUGAGGAAUACAUCGGAAUCUACUUUUUCGUGGGGGAUAACGUAGGGAAACUUACGCUAAUACCGCAUACGACCUACGGGUGAAAGCAGGGGAUCUUCGGACCUUGCGCGAUUGAAUGAGCCGAUGUCGGAUUAGCUAGUUGGCGGGGUAAAGGCCCACCAAGGCGACGAUCCGUAGCUGGUCUGAGAGGAUGAUCAGCCACACUGGAACUGAGACACGGUCCAGACUCCUACGGGAGGCAGCAGUGGGGAAUAUUGGACAAUGGGCGCAAGCCUGAUCCAGCCAUACCGCGUGGGUGAAGAAGGCCUUCGGAUUGUAAAGCCCUUUUGUUGGGAAAGAAAAGCAGCAGGUUAAUACCCCGCUGUUCUGACGGUACCCAAAGAAUAAGCACCGGCUAACUUCGUG